RNAcentral lists this ribosomal RNA (508 nucleotides) under Rhithrodytes sexguttatus. Its description in RNAcentral is "partial 16S ribosomal RNA". The stretch from base 385 to 508 matches the Rfam family "Bacterial large subunit ribosomal RNA", at positions 2473 to 2597 of the family's 2925-position model. The record is from RNAcentral. Lineage: Eukaryota; Metazoa; Arthropoda; Insecta; Coleoptera; Dytiscidae.
GUCCUUUAGAGAUAAUUAAAGGUUUAACCUGCCCACUGAGAAAUUUUAAAUGGCCGCAGUAAAUUGACUGUGCAAAGGUAGCAUAAUCAAUAGUUUUUUAAUUGAAAGCUUGUAUGAAUGGUUGGACGAGAUAAAAUCUGUCUUUAUUUAAUAGAUAAAAUUUAAUAUUUAAGUUAAAAAGCUUAAAUAAAAUUAAAAGACGAGAAGACCCUAUAGAUCUUUAUAAUAAAUUAAUUAUUUAUAUUAAAGAUUAGUUUAUAUUUUAUUUAUGUUAUUAUUAUAUUGGGGUAAUAGAGAGAUUUAACAAAUUCUUUUUAAAAAUUGACAAUAAUUUUUGAUUUAUUGAUCCAUUAAUUAGUGAUUAAAAGAUUAAGUUACCUUAGGGAUAACAGCGUAAUUUUUUUAGAGAGUUCAUAUCGAUAAAAAAGUUUGCGACCUCGAUGUUGGAUUAAAAAUUAUUCUAGGUGUAGUAGUUUAGAAUUUUGGUCUGUUCGACCAUUAAAUUUUU